UCUCCGUAGGUGAACCUGCGGAGGGAUCAUUACCGAGCUCAUGCCCUUACGGGUAGAUCUUCCACCCUGUGUUAUUAUUACCUUUAUUGCUUUGGCGGGCCGCCAGGCUCCGGUCAGGCUAUCGGCUUCGGCUGGUAAGCGCCCGCCAGAGGACCCUAUAUCCUGAUUAUUAGUGUCGUCUGAGUACUAUAUAAUAGUUAAAACUUUCAACAACGGAUCUCUUGGUUCUG
RNAcentral lists this unclassified non-coding RNA (230 nucleotides) under plant metagenome. RNAcentral's name for it is "partial contains small subunit ribosomal RNA, internal transcribed spacer 1, and 5.8S ribosomal RNA". The record is from RNAcentral.